Molecule: ribosomal RNA, 253 nt
Filed under: uncultured bacterium
Lineage: Bacteria
Description: partial 16S ribosomal RNA
Rfam family: Bacterial small subunit ribosomal RNA
Source: RNAcentral
UACAGAGGGGGCAAGCGUUAUUCGGAAUUAUUGGGCGUAAAGGGCGCGUAGGCGGCAUGGCAAGUGGAUGGUGAAAUCCCUCGGCUUAACCGAGGAACUGCCGUCCAAACUGCUUCGCUUGAGACCGGGAGAGGUGAGUGGAAUUCACGGUGUAGCAGUGAAAUGCGUAGAUAUCGUGAGGAAGACCAGUGGCGAAGGCGGGUCUCUGGACAGUUCCUGACGCUGAGGCGCGAAGGCCAGGGGAGCAAACGGG